UAGUACCGUGAGGGAAAGGUGAAAAGAACCCCGGGAGGGGAGUGAAAUAGAACCUGAAACCUUGUGCUUACAAGCACCGAGAGCCCGUCAAAGGGUGAUCGGGUACCUAUUGUAGAAUGGUCCGGCGAGUUAAUGUAACUGGCAAGGUUAAGGACUAAAGGUCCGGAGCCGCAGCGAGAGCGAGUCUGAAUAGGGCGUAUGAAGUCAGUUAUAUUAGACCCGAAACCGGGUGACCUACCCAUGUCCAGGUUGAAGUGGAGGUAAAACUCCAUGGAGGACCGAACCGACUCCCGUUGAAAUGGUAGCGGAUGAGGUGUGGGUAGCGGAGAAAUUCCAAUCGAACCCGGAGAUAGCUGGUUCUCUCCGAAAUAGCUUUAGGGCUAGCCUUGUAUUAGAUUACUGGAGGUAAAGCACUGAAUGGGCUAGGGGCCGAGAGGUUACUGAACCCUAUCAAACUAAGAAUGCCGGAUAAUGAUAGUCGGGAGUCAGACAGUGUGAGAUAAGUUUCAUUGUCGAAAGGGAAACAGCCCAGACCCACAGCUAAGGUCCCAAAGUAUCGUUAAGUGGAAAAGGAUGUGGAACUGCCCAGACAACCAGGAUGUUGGCUCAGAAGCAGCCAUACAUUCAAAGAGUGCGUAAUAGCUCACUGGUCGAGUGGUUCUGCGCCGAAAAUUUAACGGGGCUAAACGAUACACCGAAGCUUGGGAUGCAGCAUUGGCUGCAUGGUAGGAGAGCGUUCUGUACGGGGUGAAGUCAUAGCGGAAGCGGUGGUGGACUGUACAGAAGAGAGAAUGCCGGAAUGAGUAGCGAGAUUUAUGUGAGAAUCAUAAAGGCCGAAAGACUAAGGAUUUAGAAGGAAGGUUCGUCCGCUUCUAGUUAGCCGGGAGCUAAGGCGAGGCCGAAAGGCGUAGUCGAUGCACAUACGGUGGAGAUUCCGUAGCCGCCUCUUAAUUUAAGCAAAGGGACACUUUCAAAGGGAAUGACCCGGGCGUUGGUAGCCCCGGGCGAAAGGGACCGAAAUUAGAGUAGGGAAGCAUUUCUGGAGGAAGGCGAGAAAAGCUUUGCGGAUAGAGAGAGGCGCCCGUACCGCAAACCGACACAGGUAGUCAGGAAGAGGAUUCUAAGGCCAACGGGAGAAGGGUAGUUAAGGAACUCGGCAAAUUGACCCCGUAACUUCGGAAUAAGGGGUGCUCCUGAAAAGGAGCCGCAGUGAAUAGGCCCAGGCGACUGUUUAUCAAAAACACAGCUCUCUGCUAAAUCGAAAGAUGAAGUAUAGGGGGUGACACCUGCCCGGUGCUGGAAGGUUAAGAGGAAGGGUGCAAGCUCUGAAUUGAAGCCCCAGUAAACGGCGGCCGUAACUAUAACGGUCCUAAGGUAGCGAAAUUCCUUGUCGGGUAAGUUCCGACCCGCACGAAUGGUGUAACGAUCUGGGCACUGUCUCAACUACCCACCCGGCGAAAUUGUAGUACCGGUGAAGAUGCCGGUUACCCGCGGCAAGACGGAAAGACCCCAUGGAGCUUUACUGUAGCCUGAUAUUGGGUUUCGGUAUUCUAUGUACAGGAUAGGCGGGAGACUGGGAACCGAUGGCGUCAGCUGUCGGGGAGUCACCCUUGGGAUACCGCUCUUAGAGUACUGGAAUUCUAACCUGCGGCCGUGAAUCCGGCCGGGGGACAUUGUCAGGUGGGCAGUUUGACUGGGGCGGUCGCCUCCAAAAAGGUAACGGAGGCGCUCAAAGGUUCGCUCAGCAUGGAUGGAAACCAUGCCAGAGAGUGUAAACGCAAAAGCGAGCCUAACUGCGAGACUGACGGGUCGAGCAGUAACGAAAGUUGGAGUUAGUGAUCCGGCGGUAUGUGAGUGGAAAUGCCGUCGCUCAACGGAUAAAAGCUACCCUGGGGAUAACAGGCUGAUCUCCCCCAAGAGUCCACAUCGACGGGGAGGUUUGGCACCUCGAUGUCGGCUCAUCGCAUCCUGGGGCUGAAUUCGGUCCCAAGGGUUUGGCUGUUCGCCAAUUAAAGCGGUACGCGAGCUGGGUUCAGAACGUCGUGAGACAGUUCGGUCCCUAUCUGUCGUGGGCGCAGGAUAUUUG
This 2086-nucleotide ribosomal RNA is filed under the name human gut metagenome. RNAcentral's name for it is "bacterial LSU rRNA". It matches the Rfam family "Bacterial large subunit ribosomal RNA", at positions 496 to 2664 of the family's 2925-position model. The record is from RNAcentral.